GCAACUUGGGCUGGCCGUGCCAAGAGACUCUCCAAGGUGCAGUCUUUGAACUCCAAGAAGGCAGAACCCAUGUCUGUUCAGUUGUUCCAUGCAUCCAACACGCUCAGUGCAUAGUCCUUCUUCACACACCUGUGAAAUGGCAGUGCUUACAUUCUUGCCUCCACUUUGCC
Long non-coding RNA from Gorilla gorilla gorilla (western lowland gorilla), 170 nucleotides. RefSeq lists it as uncharacterized. The record is from RefSeq and is a predicted model, not a curated record. The transcript has 3 exons. Lineage: Eukaryota; Metazoa; Chordata; Mammalia; Primates; Hominidae.